CCUACGGGUGGCAGCAGUGGGGAAUAUUGGGCAAUGGGCGCAAGCCUGACCCAGCAACGCCGCGUGAAGGAAGAAGGCUUUCGGGUUGUAAACUUCUUUUGUCAGGGAAGAGUAGAAUGCGGUUCCUGACGAAUAAGACACGGCUAACUACGUGCCAGCAGCCCCGGUAAUACGGAGGUGGCAAGCGUUGUCCGGAUUUACUGGGUGUAAAGGGCAGGUAGCCGGGUUGACAAAUCAGAUGUGAAAUCCUGCGGCUUAACCGGGGAAAUGCAUUUGAAACUGUUUGUCUUGAGUACUGGAGAGGCAGAUGGAAUUCCUAGUGUAGCGGUGAAAUGCGUAGAUAUUAGGAGGAACACCAGUGGCGAAGGCGGUCUGCUGGACAGAAACUGACGGUGAGGCGCGAAAGCGUGGGGAGCAAACAGGAUUAGAUACCCGAGUAGUC
This 442-nucleotide ribosomal RNA is filed under the name uncultured bacterium. RNAcentral's name for it is "partial 16S ribosomal RNA". It matches the Rfam family "Bacterial small subunit ribosomal RNA", at positions 338 to 795 of the family's 1533-position model. The record is from RNAcentral.